GUGAGAUGUGAAGGCCCAGGAGGAAAGGCUGGUGUUUCGCCUGCAACUUUUAACUGAAUUCUCUCCAUGCCUUCUGAAUUCUGAAUAUACAAACACUGCUGGCCAAUCUGGGUCAAUCUCCCAGUUGCUUCUGCUGGGAGCGUACAAAGUGCCACCAUGGUGGACAAUGAGUAGCCGGACGUUCACUUUGAGAGGUUAACACUGCUGUGGUCACUCUUUCCCGGUGCUCCACCUACCCUCCACUGCCACCACUGGAACACUCUCUUGUUGAUGGAACCUAAAGAUGCUGAUGGAUUUCCUCACUCUUGGCCCUGCUCCUUGCCCUGACUGGCCUGGCCUGGGGCUGGUAGGAGGAAGGAGGCUGGCCACCCAGGGCAAGUGGCACUGGGGCUGAAGGGAAGACCCAGGGAGGGAUGGCAUUUGUGUGGGAAACUAGGCUUGGCUCCUGUUCCCUGCUUAUCACCGAAUGUCCCUAAUGGGUUAUGCGUUGUUCUAGGUAUUUGAUGUCUCUCAUUCUAUCUCAUUUUGAUAAUGACCCUGCAGCAAAGGUGUGAUUAUGCCCGCUUUAGAGAUGAGGACACUAAGGCUGAGAGAGAGGAAGAAAUUUGCACAAGGUUACACAGGAAAACCAGGUGCAGAGGACUGAAAAGUACUGCCAUCAGGGUCUGCCUCCUGCUACCAUGCAAACCAGCCUCUUGAGGAUGAGACCCCUUGUGAAGAAAGGCCUUUGGCAUCCCGGCUGUUUUUGCUGUAGCCCCAGAGCCUCGGGCAUAGAGGGAGGCCUUUUCUCCUCACUGAGCCCCAGAUGAACUGGCUUAGUGCGGAAGAACUAGCCAGAUCAUUUAUAGAUAGAAUUGGGACAGAAAUGGUCGUUGUUUCAAGUCACUAAGCUUUGUGCUGUUUCUCUAUGAAGCAACGGCUAAUAUAUAUUAUAUAUAGUUGUAUAUCGUACUGCAUAUAUAGUCAUAUAUUAUAGUUAUGUAUAGUCACACACACACAUAUAAUAUAUAUAUUAGUUGAGGUGGUUGUGGAAGGGGGUGAAACAGUAGGAGAAAGAGGGCAAAAGGCCCUGAUUAUAUUUUUGC
This 1085-nucleotide long non-coding RNA is filed under the name Canis lupus familiaris (dog). Its description in RNAcentral is "lncRNA (ENSCAFG00000050296.1)". The record is from RNAcentral. Lineage: Eukaryota; Metazoa; Chordata; Mammalia; Carnivora; Canidae.